UGCGGCGUAGCUUAACGGAAGAGCGGAGGUCUAUAAGCCUUUGGUGAAAGUUCGACUCUUUCCGCCGCGACCA
RNAcentral lists this transfer RNA (73 nucleotides) under Saprospiraceae bacterium. Its description in RNAcentral is "tRNA-OTHER". It matches the Rfam family "tRNA". Rfam says of the family: Transfer RNA (tRNA) molecules are approximately 80 nucleotides in length. The record is from RNAcentral. Lineage: Bacteria; Pseudomonadati; Bacteroidota; Saprospiria; Saprospirales; Saprospiraceae.